UCUCAGUUCGGACUGUGGUCUGCAACCCGACCACACGAAGCUGGAAUCGCUAGUAAUCGCGAAUCAGAAUGUCGCGGUGAAUACGUUCCCGGGUCUUGUACACACCGCCCGUCACACCAUGGGAGUCAGCAACGCCCGAAGUCAGUGACCUAACCGAAAGGGAGGAGCUGCCGAAGGCGGGGCCGGUAACUGGGGUGAAGUCGUAACAAGGUACC
RNAcentral lists this ribosomal RNA (215 nucleotides) under uncultured bacterium. RNAcentral's name for it is "partial 16S ribosomal RNA". It matches the Rfam family "Bacterial small subunit ribosomal RNA", at positions 1286 to 1500 of the family's 1533-position model. The record is from RNAcentral.